AUUAGGUAAAAAGUACAAUUCACCAAAGAGGUAGAUAUCAACAUCAUACAUGUUUUAGAUAAUAUGCAGACAAAAAAUCGCCAGAGCUAUGUCUGCGACACAACAAAAUCAUAAACUAGUGCAAGCCUACAGCAAGAAAAUUAAAGAUUGGAAUCCCAAUCACAACAUGCAUUAGAAGGAUUUCAGUUUCUUUUCAUAAACCCUGCACUAGU
This is a long non-coding RNA of Lycium ferocissimum, 212 nucleotides long. RefSeq lists it as uncharacterized. The transcript is spliced from 2 exons. Lineage: Eukaryota; Viridiplantae; Streptophyta; Magnoliopsida; Solanales; Solanaceae. The record is from RefSeq and is a predicted model, not a curated record.